This 70-nucleotide transfer RNA is filed under the name Marmota monax (woodchuck). Its description in RNAcentral is "tRNA.Ala". The record is from RNAcentral. Lineage: Eukaryota; Metazoa; Chordata; Mammalia; Rodentia; Sciuridae.
GGGACCAGGGCUCAGUGGUAGAGCACUUGCCUAGCAUGAACUGAGGCCCUGGGAUCAAUCCCCAGUACCU